This is a non-coding RNA of 384 nucleotides. It matches the Rfam family "transfer-messenger RNA". Rfam says of the family: Bacterial tmRNA, also known as 10Sa RNA or SsrA, is named for its dual tRNA and mRNA-like properties. Its role is to liberate the mRNA from a stalled ribosome. The record is from Rfam.
GGGGAUGUACUGGUUUCGACGGGGGCAUUUGUAAAGGCAAUAAGCAAGCCGCAGUUGAGUACUCUGCGUUAAAAAGAUUCACCUAAAUAUAAAUGCUAAAACAAACAAAACUGCAGAGGUGGGUUCUCCCGCUCUGCUCGCUGCUUAAUUAAAUAAGCGGCCUUCUGACCUUUCCUUUCCUGUUUGGGAAAGAAUCGGGAGCUAAUUUAAAACAGGCUACUAUGCUGCCAAAGCUUUGAGGCGGCAUGGAUUUUAUGAAGCUACUUCUUCCUGAAUUUUGUGGUUUGGGGUCUUGAAGAGGGAAUUUUACAAAAACCAAUAAGCUUGUAGAAAGUUGCCCGGGCAGGCUUUCGGACAGGGGUUCGACUCCCCUCAUCUCCACCA